ACAGCAGUCGCCGCGGUAAUACGAAGGGUGCAAGCGUUACUCGGAAUUACUGGGCGUAAGGCGUGUGUAGGUGGUUGUUUAAGUCUGUCGUGAAAGCCCUGGGCUCAACCUGGGAAUUGCGAUGGAUACUGGGCGACUAGAGUGCGGUAGAGGAUAGUGGAAUUUCCGGUGUAGCAGUGAAAUGCGUAGAGAUCGGAAGGAACAUCUGUGGCGAAGGCGACUAUCUGGGCCAACACUGACACUGAGACACGAAAGCGUGGGGAGCAAACAGGAUUAGAUACCCCAGUAGUCCCUGUCUCUUAUAC
This 305-nucleotide ribosomal RNA is filed under the name uncultured bacterium. RNAcentral's name for it is "partial 16S ribosomal RNA". It matches the Rfam family "Bacterial small subunit ribosomal RNA", at positions 508 to 807 of the family's 1533-position model. The record is from RNAcentral.